Molecule: non-coding RNA, 65 nt
Filed under: Candidatus Pelagibacter
Lineage: Bacteria; Pseudomonadati; Pseudomonadota; Alphaproteobacteria; Candidatus Pelagibacterales; Candidatus Pelagibacteraceae
Also listed under: 1 other name
Description: SAM-V sequence
Rfam family: SAM-V (S-adenosyl methionine) riboswitch aptamer
About the family: SAM-V riboswitch is a cis-regulatory element that was recognised in marine bacteria it recognise S-adenosylmethione (SAM). The binding of SAM leads to the association of the triplex third strand in the aptamer of SAM-V riboswitch that stabilizes a short helix and occludes the ribosome binding site.
Source: RNAcentral
AAUUAAGAAGGGCAUUUAACUAAAUUGUGCGCCUGACAUAUGUCGAAGCACUAAAACAGGAGAAA